UACAGAGGGUGCUAGCGUUGUUCGGAAUCAUUGGGCGUAAAGCGCGUGUAGGCGGCCCGGUAAGUCCGCUGUGAAAGUCGGGGGCUCAACCCUCGAAUGCCGGUGGAUACUGUCGGGCUAGAGUGCGGGAGAGGCGAGUGGAAUUCCUGGUGUAGCGGUGAAAUGCGCAGAUAUCAGGAGGAACACCAAUUGCGAAGGCAGCUCGCUGGGACGUUACUGACACUGAGGCGCGAAAGCGUGGGGAGCGAACAGG
This 253-nucleotide ribosomal RNA is filed under the name uncultured bacterium. RNAcentral describes it as "partial 16S ribosomal RNA". It matches the Rfam family "Bacterial small subunit ribosomal RNA", at positions 524 to 776 of the family's 1533-position model. The record is from RNAcentral.